Molecule: long non-coding RNA, 372 nt
Organism: Haliotis rufescens (red abalone)
Lineage: Eukaryota; Metazoa; Mollusca; Gastropoda; Lepetellida; Haliotidae
Exons: 3
Source: RefSeq, a predicted model, not a curated record
CCAAAAACGAGGUUUUCCCCGCAUGGCGGCAGAGCAAACACCCGGAAGUGAUUUAUCGCUCGUCUCGCAUGUCUCGUUCAGCUUCGUCAAGAAUUUGGUUCAAAGUCAAUCUAAGAGCGCGAGGAGUUCCCCGUUGAACAAGGGAUUCCAUUACAACAGCGAUGGGUUCAUCAACAGUAUUAAAACGUCGUCCAAAGGAUUCCUAGCUGUGGCCCGACUCAUGUGAAAUCCCACAUAACUUAGAGAUUUUUCUGAAGUGAAGGUUUCUACAGCAAACUGUUUCUGUGCCAUCAGACAGAUCGAGCCAGUGCUAUGGACAUCAGUUUAAAUACAAUGUAUGUACAUUUUGUAAUAAAAUAUUUGCGUCUCAAA